UUCCAGACUCCUACGGGAGGCAGCAGUGGGGGAUAUUGCACAAUGGGGGGAACCCUGAUGCAGCGACGCCGCGUGGGCGAUGGAGCGCCUCGGCGCGUAAAGCCCUAUCAGCAGGGAAGAAGAUGACGGUACCUGACUAAGAGGCCCCGGCUAAAUACGUGCCAGCAGCCGCGGUAAUACGUAUGGGGCAAGCGUUAUCCGGAUUUACUGGGUGUAAAGGGAGCGCAGGCGGCCUGGCAAGCCUGAUGUGAAAUACCGGGGCCCAACCCCGGGGCUGCAUUGGGAACUGCCAGGCUGGAGUGCCGGAGAGGCAGGCGGAAUUCCUAGUGUAGCGGUGAAAUGCAUAGAUAUUAGGAGGAACACCAGUGGCGAAGGCGGCUUGCUGGACUGAAACUGACGCUGAGGCUCGAAAGCGUGGGGAGCAAACAGGAUUAGAUACCCCAGUA
Molecule: ribosomal RNA, 446 nt
Filed under: uncultured bacterium
Lineage: Bacteria
Description: bacterial SSU rRNA
Rfam family: Bacterial small subunit ribosomal RNA
Source: RNAcentral